Molecule: long non-coding RNA, 584 nt
Filed under: Vulpes vulpes (red fox)
Lineage: Eukaryota; Metazoa; Chordata; Mammalia; Carnivora; Canidae
Description: lncRNA (ENSVVUG00000001033.1)
Source: RNAcentral
CCCAGGUCAUGCUAACGUGCAAGCAGGUUUGGGGCCGCAGAGUCGCGCCUCCUACUCCUGGCGGGAGCCCCCGCAGCCGGGUGGGAGGGCGCAGCACGUGCCAAGCGUCCUGUGGCUGCAGCUGCCGCCGAGCGCAGGACCUGGCGCGGGAGCCGCCCACCUGGGCCCUCCAGGCGGCGGGGAUGGGGGAGCGGACUCGGGAGGAGGCCCCGGGGCAGCCUGCAAGCCCUGCGCGGCCCAGGACCCCUCGCCCCGCCUGCAGCCGGGCGCAGAGCAGGGGCCGCAUCUCAGGCGGGACGACCUGUCCCCCCACGAAGGAGGCCGCGCGGCACCCUCGCUGCUUGGGGCCCGAAUGUAGAUACACGGAAAGAACAUACGCCUGGAAGGCGGCAGGACAUCUGUCAUGUUUGACUCCUAACGGCAAUCCAUAAAUGUGAAAGGCUGUGCCGUCAAGCAUUUUCAUUUCUCUGUGGGCCUUGUCGCUAAUGAGAACUUUGGUUGAGCUGAAAGGGAUUGGAAAUCUGAGGAAAGUAUGGGACCAAAGCCGCAAUAAAUGUAAAGCGAUAACUGCUUAAUUUGAAGCG